UUGACCUGGUGUCAUGGCUCUGCUUUUUCUCUGCUGCUGUGCUCUUAAGUGUUUGCAGGUGAGCAGGUUGGAGAGCCACAGCUGCAGCUGAUUACAAUCAGUCAGGCCAGAGGAUAUAAGGAGCGGUGUUGCCACACUUCAGCGCCGGUUGAUACUCUAUUGUUGGUACCAGCCCUGGAUUCUUGCCUCUGCUUCCUGCUGCCUGAAGUGGAUUAUUACCCAACGCCACUCAACUCCUCUGAUCUCCCGCUCUCCACUGCUCACCUGUUCUGGAUUACUCUACUGCCUGCUAUUCCUCUCCACCAAACCAUCUCCGGCUCAGACCGGACUUGCCUCCCUCUCCUGCUCAAACCCCCACUUCACACAAAUCGGAAUACUCCCCCUGGCCCAGUUUGGAUCAGCGCUCUUCGUUCUUGUUAAUUUUUUUUAUAAUAAAACAUUUAUAUUUGUA
Molecule: RNA transcript, 451 nt
Organism: Nothobranchius furzeri (turquoise killifish)
Lineage: Eukaryota; Metazoa; Chordata; Actinopteri; Cyprinodontiformes; Nothobranchiidae
Source: RefSeq, a predicted model, not a curated record